Molecule: long non-coding RNA, 460 nt
Organism: Siniperca chuatsi (mandarin fish)
Lineage: Eukaryota; Metazoa; Chordata; Actinopteri; Centrarchiformes; Sinipercidae
Exons: 3
Source: RefSeq, a predicted model, not a curated record
CCUGGGUCUGUUUGCUGGAGAGAAAAAAGAAAGAAAGAAACAAAAAAGAAAACAUUAACUUCAUAAACGGGCAGAUCUCAUAAAUACAACAGCCCCUUAAGAUCGUCCUCCAUACAUGUACUCACGCUCUGCCGGUGAUCAUAGUCUCAGUCAGCCCUUGGAUCUUCUGGACAUCGAUACCACGGCAACUGCCACGUCACCCUCGCCAUCCGGCAAACCUCGCCUCCACAGCCAGCCGCCUUCCCAAACUAAACGCCAGGCUUCACGGGUUCACUGCCUGGCCAGCCCAGCCCUUCUCCCUAUGCUUGCCAGUCCAGAACCAGCUCCCCUUGUCUUCGUCCGGAGCUCCACCAGUCUCAUCCCCGACCCGGUCCGGUCGAGUCCUCGGGGCGGCCACGGACCAUGCCGAAAACUUCGUACACCAAUAACUAUCUGCACAAUAAAGAUCGUUCCAACUAUA